ACUCCUACGGGAGGCAGCAGUGAGGAAUAUUGGUCAAUGGACGGAAGUCUGAACCAGCCAUGCAAAGUGCAGGAAGAAAACCCUAUGGGUUGUAAACUGCUUUUAUAUAGGAAUAAAACCCUCAACGAGUUGUGGGGCUGUGAUGUGCUAUAUGAAUAUACA
This 162-nucleotide ribosomal RNA is filed under the name uncultured bacterium. RNAcentral's name for it is "partial 16S ribosomal RNA". It matches the Rfam family "Bacterial small subunit ribosomal RNA", at positions 335 to 492 of the family's 1533-position model. The record is from RNAcentral.